UUACGCUGUUAUCCCUAAGGUAAUUUACUCUUAUAGUCACUAAAAAUGGAUCAAAAAUAUAUAAAUAAAUAUAAAAAAAUAAAAAGAGUUAUUUUAAUCUUCCUAUCACCCCAACAAAAUUUACACAACAUUAAAUUUUUACCCACAAAAAAUAUUUAAAUAAAUUAAACUCUAUAGGGUCUUCUCGUCCCAAAAAAAUAUUUAGGCAUUUUAACCUAAAAUUUAAAUUCAACAUAAUAAAAAUCAAAGACAGUAAUUACCUCGUCAAACCAUUCAUUCCAGCCUACAAUUAAAAGACUAAUGAUUAUGCUACCUUUGCACGGUCAAAAUACCGCGGCCUUCAAAUAAUCAGCGGGCAGGUCAUACAUCAUAAUAACAGCAAAAGAGAUGUUUUUGUUAAACAGGCG
Molecule: ribosomal RNA, 407 nt
Filed under: Cryptocercus punctulatus (brown-hooded cockroach)
Lineage: Eukaryota; Metazoa; Arthropoda; Insecta; Blattodea; Cryptocercidae
Description: 16S rRNA
Source: RNAcentral